This 3519-nucleotide long non-coding RNA is filed under the name Pan troglodytes (chimpanzee). Its description in RNAcentral is "long non-coding RNA NONPTRT015570". Lineage: Eukaryota; Metazoa; Chordata; Mammalia; Primates; Hominidae. The record is from RNAcentral.
CAGGCAGGCUUAUUACAGGUAAAGGUGUUCUUUUCAGCACCAUUUCUUUGAAAUAUUGAAAAGGGCUCAUGGGCCACCUUGACUACUUUUGAACACCUCUAGGGGCUUGGGAAACUUCUGCUUUAGUCCCUGCACUUGUGCUCCCACCCCAAACCUUGGUGCUUUCCUAGGUCUCCUGCUGUGUAGAGCCUGUGGGGUACUUAAACAGGUGACAGGAAACCCAGGACAGGACCAGGUCUGAAACUCUGGGCUAAUUCCAUAUCCACUAUGAAUCCAUAUGAGACAGAAUUCUCUUGGUAAUAACAGGCCCUUCAGAUGAUCCCAGCAACCCACUCCUGUGGGCGAGUAGGCAUUUUCUGCCAAGGCCCUAGAGUCAAUAUCCCUGGGACCAUUUGUAUGACUUGGGAGCCUUGAAUGUGAGUGUUUGGGCCAUACUGGGCUAGCCUUGCUGAUACACAGGAGCUUUUCUGGGAAUGGGUAGAGCAGUGAAAGUCACCUGAGAUGCUGGAGAGGGUGUGAUGUGCAGCAAGAGGGGGCUCUAAACUCUCGCCAAAUGGUGGUGACCUGGAAGGGAAGCAUGAGAGGGGCUCAUCGUGACCUUGUUACUGAGUGCCUAGAGCACAGGGCACUGCCCAGGGGUUGGGCAGGAGAGGACUCAGAUGAAGGCAGCACCCUUGAGGCUCCAGGGCCACGGGCAGUUGGCUCCUGAGAGACACUCUUUGAAGAGGGCUUCACAAUGAAUCAGGAGAAGAACCAAGGAAUAGAAGGGUUUAUAAAGAGCAAUAAGGAAAAUGGCUGAAGCCUAGCCAAGGCUUAAUUCUGUGCAAAGAACUGACUGAAUUGUAGUUACUGGCAUUUGUGUAGUACAGAAUUUAAUCUUGGCUAAGCACAGUGUCUCACGCCUGUAAUCCCAGCACUUUGGGAGGCUGAGGCUAGCAGAUUUCUUGAGCCCAGCCUGGGCAACAUGGUAAAACCCCAUCUCUACAAAAUAAUAACAACAAAAAGAAUUUAAUCUUGUCCCCAAAAGAUCUGGCCUUCAUCCUUAACACGUAGGGGGCGAUCUGUAAGAUACCAUACCUGAUGGGAAUGUCUUUGUUUGGCUGGAAGCUUUAAUGCACACCAACAAUGUGAUUUAGGGUGAGGAAUGGCCAUACCAAGUAGACCAGCCAUGUGAUUUCAGGUGAGAGCCUAGCCCGGGCAACAUAGCAAGACCCCAUCUCUACAAAAAUGAAAAAAUAAAAGUAAAAAAAUUAGCCAGAUGUGGUGGCACACACCUGUUGUCCCAGCUCCUCAGGAGGUUGAGGCAGAAGGAUAGCUUGAGCCCAGGAGUUUGAGACUGCAGUGAGCUAUAAUCAUGCCACUGCCCACCAGCCUGGGUGGCAGAGUGAGACCAUCUCAAAAAACUAAAAAAUAAAAUAAGGUGGGGGCUUGGAUCAUGCCUGGAGGAGCUGGAGACUGGAGCCUGAGAUCAGUCCUAUGGGCAUUCAAAUAAGUCAGUCAUGCUCUCAGGGUGGAGCUCCAAUGAGAAUUCUGAAUACGGAGGCUCCGGUGAGCAUUCCUGAUUGGGUGUUCUGUGUGUGUUGCCAUACAGCAAUGCCAGGAGAGUAACACAUCCUGACUCCACGGAGAGAGAAGAAUGGAAACUCUGCGUUUGGACCCUCCUGAUGUUAACCUAUGCUGUUUCCCUGUGAUAACCAGCAAUCUUAAGCACAACCACUUUCAGUGAGCUCUGGGAGUCCUAGGCAGUUAUUGCAUCUUGGGUGGUUUGGGGAACCCCAGUCUUGCAGUUGGUGUCAGAAGUGAGUGCAUCUCGUGUAGACAGUGCGCUGUAAUUUAGCAGUGCGUUUUCAGUAGAAUAGACAUGUUUCUUGGGGGGUCUCUUACAUGCCCGUCUCUCUUUUGUUUUGUAGUGUUCCACUGGCAGGCCACCAUCAUGGGCCCGAAUGACAGUCCUUACCAAGGAGGUGUUUUCUUCCUGACCAUCCACUUUCCUACAGAUUACCCGUUCAAGCCCCCAAAGGUGAGGUCCCUCUCCCAACUCCCCUGAUGUUUGGAUGAAGGACAGCAUGUGACAAGGGGCCCUUCAAGUCAGGUAUAGGUAAAAAGAGCUGUACGUGGGGUUUCUCUGAGGGCCCACUGCUCCACCCUGUGGUGACAGUUUCCCAGGACUUUAAUUACUGGACUUUGAGAAUUAGCACCUGUUGUGAUCAAGGGUCAGUGGGGUGAGCUGGUGCUGGCCUUACUGAGGCCACAGUUUGAAUGCUUCUCCUUGUGACUGUAGCUGAGUCUGGUCAUGUCUCCAGGCUCUGGCUCCCUUCUCUGCAGUCCCUUAGAGUUAGGACAGGGGUUCUCAGCUGGGGUGAUUUUGCUACUGCCCCAGGGACAUUUGAGCAACAUCUUAGGAUAUUUUGGGUUAUCAAAACUGUGGUGAGGGAGUACUACUGGUAUCUAGUCGGCAAAGGCCAGGGUAUUCCAGGGAUUCCCUGCAGUGCACAGGAGAGCCACCCUUCCCAUGACAGAUAAUGAUCAGCCCCAAGUGUCAAUAGUGCCAAGGUGGACACACCCUGGUUUAGGACUGGUGAGUCACACCUUCACUUUUCUUUAUUAAGUUAAAAGAAUAGCAAGCCUCCUUUGCCCUUCAUGCACACACCAUCCCAUCAGUGGAGCUUUAGAGGGCAGUGCCACCAAAGGGAAGGAGAAGCCCAGGGAGCUGCCUCGACCACCCUGCCCUAGCAUGUCUUGUGCACCGCAGGUCGUCUCACUCCCUGGACCCUUGGACCUCAUACUCCUUCUCACCUGGGCUCUGCAUGGGUGGCCGAGCCUGCCCUGAGGCUCAUAGUCCUGUGGAGGAGACAGGGCAUUUAGCAUGUGAGCUACUCAGCACUGGGAAGGAGCACAAGCAGUGGUUGGCAGCAGGAGCCAGGGUGGUGGAGAGAUUGCCCUGAGAAAGGGGAACUGCAGGAGCUCAGCAAGAGGGCGGACAGGUCCCCAGGAAACUGCCCCAGGGGAGUGAGCCUGUGAGGAGUUGGGAAGGAGGCCAGAGGGGUACGGAUGGCCCCAGGAGUAGGGUCUGCACGCCGUUGUGGGGAUCGCCACACCGACACAAUCACUCUGCUGCCUUGUGGAGAAGAGGCUGGGGUUCAAGUGAUUCUCCUGCUUCAGCCUCCUGAGUAGCUGGGACUACAGGCACUCGCCACCACACGUGGCUAAUUUUUGUGUUAUUUUUAGUAGAGACAGGGUUUCACAAUGUUGGCCAAGCUGGUCUCGAACUCCUGGCCUUAGGUGAUCCACCCACCUCCGCCUCCCAAAGUGCUGGGAUUCCAAGUGUGAGCCACCACGCUUGGCCAGGUUGUGCAUUUUGUCAAGACUUACUCGAAAGUCCUGCAUCUGCAUCAGACCCCUUAGCUGAGGGGUUGUGAUAUUGCUGUGUCUUACUACCUUGACUUGGCCUUGAUGCCUCAAUUUGAGUCAGAGGCUUAGCUGCUGUUUUGCAUGUUGUUUAUCUGAGUCAAUGUGAAG